ACACGUAGGGGCCUGACGUUGUUCGGAAUCAUUGGGCGUAAAGGGCGCGCAGGCGGCCGUCCAAGUCCGGUGUUAAAUGGUCGGGCUCAACCCGAUCAUGCGCUGGAAACCGGGCGGCUUGAGUCCCGUAGGGGAUGCCGGAAUUCCAGGUGUAGGGGUGAAAUCUGUAGAUAUCUGGAAGAACACCGAUGGCGAAGGCAGGCAUCUGGCCGGAGACUGACGCUGAGGCGCGAAGGCGCGGGGAGCGAACAGGUUUAGAUACCCUGGUAGUCCGCGCAGUAAACGAUGCGCACCAGGUGUCGGGCGGCAGCGCCCGGUACCGGAGCUAACGCGAUGAGUGCGCCGCCUGGGGAGUAUGCCCGCAAGGGUGAAACUCAAAUGAAUUGACGGGG
This 392-nucleotide ribosomal RNA is filed under the name uncultured bacterium. RNAcentral describes it as "partial 16S ribosomal RNA". It matches the Rfam family "Bacterial small subunit ribosomal RNA", at positions 523 to 918 of the family's 1533-position model. The record is from RNAcentral.